This 421-nucleotide ribosomal RNA is filed under the name uncultured bacterium. RNAcentral's name for it is "bacterial SSU rRNA". It matches the Rfam family "Bacterial small subunit ribosomal RNA", at positions 29 to 494 of the family's 1533-position model. The record is from RNAcentral.
AGCGAACGCUGGCGGCAUGCUUAACACAUGCAAGUCGCACGGUCAGCAAUGGCAGUGGCGGACGGGUGAGUAACGCGUAGGUAUCUGUCUCUGGGUGGGGGAUAACCAUGGGAAACUAUGGCUAAUACCGCAUGAAACCUGAGGGUCAAAGGCGCAAGUCGCCUGGAGAGGAGCCUGCGUACGAUUAGCUUGUUGGUGGGGUAAUGGCCUACCAAGCCACGAUCCAUAGCUGGUCUGAGAGGAUGAUCAGCCACACUGGGACUGAGACACGGGCCCAGACUCCUACGGGAGGCAGCAGUAGGGAAUCUUGCGCAAUGGGCGAAAGCCUGACCCAGCAACGCCGCGUGAAGGAUGAAGUAUUUCGGUAUGUAAACUUCGAAAGAAUAGGGAAGAAUAAAUGACGGUACCAUUUAUAAGGUCC